Molecule: long non-coding RNA, 1754 nt
Organism: Quercus lobata
Lineage: Eukaryota; Viridiplantae; Streptophyta; Magnoliopsida; Fagales; Fagaceae
Exons: 3
Source: RefSeq, a predicted model, not a curated record
UUAAAUAUAGUCAAUGAAUUGCUAAUUUAUGUCGAUCUUGCUCAAGUUGGAAUUUUGGUAAAUAUUGUUGCCUUUCCUUUGGCCUCAAUUCAAUAUAAUGCUACAUUGCAUUAAUGAUCUUACAUCCAGCACACAGAAAAUUUAUUAUGAUAUUCUGUAUAGUGUACUCCUUUCUGAGAAUUUGUGGAUGAGGAUUGAGGAAUAAAAAAACCAGAUUGAUCUUGGGAUGGGUUUGAGCUUAAAAAAGUUAUUUGUUUGCUAAUUAAUGAUUAUUUUCAAUUGAUAGAAUCAUUUUGAUGUCAAAAUUAAAAAAAUUUCCUUUGUAUUUGCGGUAAUAAAUUUCGUUGAAAUUUUUUAUUUCCCACGCUUUGAUCCUGAAGCAACAACUUGUUUGUAAAACUUGUGCAGUCUAAACCUAUUGGAGAACUGUGGUUUAUACUGGUCAAAGCUGUUAAGCAACCAUGCGCCUCAAUAUCCAUGUCUUACAUUCUGGUGGUCAAAGAUAGCUAAUUAAGAAAGCUCCAUAGGCAGAAUGGCAAGUCUUUAUACGGCAGAGCAACAGAGCUCCCUUUCUCUUCUAGCUGAAGCUCUGUCCUUGUUUACAAAGCUCUAUACUCAAUUCAUACACACAAAUGCUUCAAGAUCAGGCUCUAAUCAACAAUGUAAAUGUAACAUGUCAUGGAUGUCAAGAUGAAAAAAUGUUGAGUAGUGACAUAUGAAUAGGAAACCUGGCAACUGGCUUUAUGUAUAACUGUAAAUUUUUCUUUUCCUUAUCUUAUUGUUGUUUGAAUAUGAAUGACUGGCUAUCAAGUUUGUCAUUAUAGGACGUGAUUUCAAAAGUACUUAAAUUGCUUGUGUUAAGAAGUAGAAUUUAUUUGUAUACUCAGAUACUUGUUUUAAAUUUCAAUUUUUUGAACACUACUAAGAAUAUAUAAUUAUAUAUAUAUAUAUAUAUUUGUAUUAUGUGUAUUUCUGGGGAGAAGCCCAAGCAGUGGGACUCUGUUCUUGCUGUGGUUGACAGUGAUUCCAAGAUGUCUCACCUACAGAUCCAUUUCCGGAUUUAGGCCCUUGGAGCAAAAUCUUCUUGUUUGCAUAUAUUGUUACUCUUAAGGAAACUUGAGUGGCAUUCAUUUUUACAUCUGCAGAUGAGAAAAACCAAGGGAAAAAAUGUUUGUGGAUAUUUGCUUUUAGGAGAAUCUGUAGAGGAAUUGCACCUGCUGCCAGAGUUACAGCCAUGGAAACAGACUCAGAAGAUCCCAAGUUUCCUGAUGCCAGAGCUGCAGAGACACCAGAAUCUGCAAAUGUAGAGCACCUGGCUACAAGAUCAACGGACCAAGAUAAGGGUAAGGCAGUACAGCUCACCAAGACUGUCUCGAUGUUGCUGCUGGAAUCCAGGGCCUUGCAUCAUCAGAGAGAGUUUUGAGCUUUGACUCUGACAUGUUGACGUAAGUUGGUAAUAUGGCUGCAUCUACCAUGACAGAACUGGAAGCUUUCAUGGAGAGGUUUGAACACAAGAAAUACAGUGCUAGACUUGCCCCUCGGUUUUGGUCAUUGGAGGGCCCCCAAGCUGACUUUUGUCAAUUUAAUGUUCAACAAGACUGUCAUUCUGCUGGAUCAAUUAGUGGGACGUUAUGGUGACUUCACUGCAGGCUUCAAGAUUGGAGCAAUCACUGACCAUUUUAUGAUCAACCUGCUGUGUGAGGUCUUGAUGGACAUGCACCAUUCAAGUUUGGACACCAUCAAUGAGACUAGGU